RNAcentral lists this ribosomal RNA (420 nucleotides) under uncultured crenarchaeote. RNAcentral's name for it is "bacterial SSU rRNA". It matches the Rfam family "Archaeal small subunit ribosomal RNA", at positions 459 to 879 of the family's 1478-position model. Lineage: Archaea; Thermoproteati; Thermoproteota. The record is from RNAcentral.
CAGCCGCCGCGGUAACACCAGCCCCUCGAGUGGUGGGGACUAUUAUUUGGCCUAAAGCGUCCGUAGCCGGCUGCAGCCGUCACCCGUUAAAUCCAGCGUCUCAAGCGUUGGACUGCGGGUGAUACCCUGCAGCUUGAGGGUGGGACAGGUUAGCGGUAUUCCCGGGGUAGGGGCGAAAUCCUUUGAUCCCGGGAGGACCACCAGUGGCGAAGGCUACUGACUAGAACACGCCUGACGGUCAGGGACGAAAGCUGGGGUAGCGAACCGGAUUAGAUACCCGGGUAGUCCCAGCUGUAAACGAUGCACGCUAGGUGUUGGGUCGGCCACGCGCCGCCCCAGUGCCGCAGGGAAGCCGUUAAGCGUGCCGCCUGGGGAGUACGGCCGCAAGGCUGAAACUUAAAGGAAUUGGCGGGGGAGCAC